RNAcentral lists this transfer RNA (84 nucleotides) under Felis catus (domestic cat). It matches the Rfam family "tRNA". From Rfam's summary of the family: Transfer RNA (tRNA) molecules are approximately 80 nucleotides in length. The record is from Rfam by way of RNAcentral. Lineage: Eukaryota; Metazoa; Chordata; Mammalia; Carnivora; Felidae.
GCCUGGGUGGCUCAGUAGAUAAGCAACUGACUUCAGCUCAGAUCAUGAUCUCAUAGUUCAUGGGUUCAAGCCCCACCUCAAGCU